RNAcentral lists this ribosomal RNA (1500 nucleotides) under Dehalococcoidia bacterium. Its description in RNAcentral is "bacterial SSU rRNA". It matches the Rfam family "Bacterial small subunit ribosomal RNA". Lineage: Bacteria; Bacillati; Chloroflexota; Dehalococcoidia. The record is from RNAcentral.
CAUAGAGUUUGAUCUUGGCUCAGGACGAACGUUGGCGGUGCGCCUAAUGCAUGCAAGUCGAACGGGCGAAGGGACUUCGGUCCCCUAGCUAGUGGCAGACGGCUGAGUAACACGUAAAUGAUCUGCCCCGAAGUGAGGGACAACCCCGAGAAAUCGGGCCUAAUACCUCGUAAGUUCAUUGGAUCACGGUCCAGUGAAGAAAGGUUUCGGCCACUUUGGGAGGAGUUUGCGGCCUAUCAGGUAGUUGGUGGGGUAAUAGCCUACCAAGCCGAAGACGGGUAACCGGUGUGAGAGCACGAUCGGUCAGAGGGGGACUGAGACACGGCCCCCACUCCUACGGGAGGCAGCAGCAGGGAAUCUUGCACAAUGGACGAAAGUCUGAUGCAGCGACACCGCGUGAGGGAAGAAGGCCUUCGGGUUGUAAACCUCUUUUAUCAGGGAAGAGUAAGGACUGUACCUGACGAAUAAGGACCGGCUAACUACGUGCCAGCAGCCGCGGUAAUACGUAGGGUUCAAACGUUGUCCGGAUUUACUGGGCGUAAAGAGCGCGUAGGCGGUUUGUUAAGUCUCAUGUGAAAUCUCCCGGCUCAACUGGGAGGGGUCAUGGGAAACUGGCAGGCUUGAGGGUAGCAGAGGAAAGCGGAAUUCCCGGAGUAGUGGUGAAAUGCGUAGAUACCGGGAGGAACACCAGAGGCGAAGGCGGCUUUCUGGGCUAUUCCUGACGCUGAGGCGCGAAAGCGUGGGGAGCAAACCGGAUUAGAUACCCGGGUAGUCCACGCCCUAAACGAUGGAUACUAGAUAUGGGGGGUAUCGACCCCUCCCGUGUCGCAGCUAACGCAUUAAGUAUCCCGCCUGAGGAGUACGGCCGCAAGGCUAAAACUCAAAAGAAUUGACGGGGACCCGCACAAGCAGCGGAGCGUGUGGUUUAAUUCGAUGAUAAGCGAAGAACCUUACCAGGGCUUGACAUGCUUUUGACCGGCUGCGAAAGCAGCCUUUCCUUCGGGACAGAUGCACAGAUGUUGCAUGGCUGUCGUCAGCUCGUGCCGUGAGGUGUUGGGUUAAGUCCCGCAACGAGCGCAACCCCUGUCGUUAGUUAGAAUGUCUAGCGAGACUGCCCCUAAACAGGGGAGGAAGGUGGGGAUGACGCCAAGUCAUCAUGGCUCUUACGUCCUGGGCUACACACACGCUACAAUGGGCGGCACAGAGGGUUGCGAAGGCGCGAGCUGGAGCUAAUCCCACAAAGCCGUCCCCAGUUGGAAUUGCAGGCUGAAACCCGCCUGCAUGAACGCGGAGUUGCUAGUAACCGCAGGUCAGCACACUGCGGUGAAUACGUUCUCGGGUCUUGUACACACCGCCCGUCACGUCAUGGAAGUCGGUAACACUUGAAGUCGCUGGGCCAACCCGCAAGGGGGGCAGGCGCCGAGGGUGGGACUGGUGACUGGGACGAAGUCGUAACAAGGUAGCUGUACCGGAAGGUGCGGCUGGAUCACCUCCUUUCUA